AACGAACGCUGGCGGCAGGCUUAACACAUGCAAGUCGAACGCCCCGCAAGGGGCGUGGCAGUCGGGUGAGUACCGCGUGGGAAUCUACCCAUCCCUACGGAAUAACGCAUGGAAACGUGUGCUACUACCGUCUACGCCCUACGGGGGAAAGAUUUAUCGCGGAGGGAUGAGCCCGCGUUGGAUUAGCUAGUUGGUGGGGUAAAGGCCUACCAAGGCGACGAUCCAUAGCUGGUCAGAGAGGAUGAUCAGCCACAUUGGGACUGAGACACGGCCAAAACUCCUACGGGAGGCGGGAGUGGGGAAUAUUGGACAAUGGGCGCAAGCCUGAGCCAGCCAUGCCGCGUAAGUGAUGAAGGCCUUAGGGUUGUAAAGCUCUCUCACCGGAGAAGAUAAUGACGGUAUCCGGAGAAGAAGCCCCGGCUAACUUCGUG
Molecule: ribosomal RNA, 431 nt
Filed under: uncultured bacterium
Lineage: Bacteria
Description: partial 16S ribosomal RNA
Rfam family: Bacterial small subunit ribosomal RNA
Source: RNAcentral